UGAGGAAUUUUGCGCAAUGGGAGCAAUCCUGACGCAGCAACGCCGCGUGGGUGAUGAAGGCCUUCGGGUCGUAAAGCCCUGUCAGGUGGGAAGAACACCAUGGGGACGAACAAGCUUCAUGGCUGACGGUACCACCAGAGGAAGCACCGGCUAACUCCGUGCCAGCAGCCGCGGUAAUACGGAGGGUGCGAGCGUUAUUCGGAAUUACUGGGCGUAAAGCGCGUGCAGGCGGUUUGGCAAGUCUGAUGUGAAAGCCCCGGGCUUAACCUGGGAAGUGCAUUGGAAACUGCCGGACUUGAGUACUGGAGAGGAAGGGGGAAUUCCCGGUGUAGAGGUGAAAUUCGUAGAGAUCGGGAGGAAUACCAGUGGCGAAGGCGCCCUUCUGGACGGCUACUGACGCUGAGACGCGAAAGCGUGGGGAGCAAACA
Molecule: ribosomal RNA, 428 nt
Filed under: uncultured prokaryote
Description: bacterial SSU rRNA
Rfam family: Bacterial small subunit ribosomal RNA
Source: RNAcentral